Molecule: long non-coding RNA, 2597 nt
Organism: Equus caballus (horse)
Lineage: Eukaryota; Metazoa; Chordata; Mammalia; Perissodactyla; Equidae
Source: Ensembl
GGGCAGUGACUGCUGCCUCUUUCUCAGUUCAGUGCAGGGAGGCCGUAUGCUCUCCCAUAUGGUGCUGAGAAGGACAAUCACGUAUCUGACCCUGGAGGGUAUGGAGACUCUGCGUCCUUGGUUAGCCCCUGGCAGUCACCACAAAAGCACGGUCUGCUGGUCCACUACAUUCUUGAGCUCAUCAGCCUGCGGCCAUUUUUGCAUUAUUUCUUUUGGGGAGUCGAUUUGCCAGGCGCUUGCAGCCUAUGGGGGGAUGGCACAGAGUCCAGGGUUUGGGAGGAGAGAUGGCCUGAAUCCACGGCAGCAGCAGGACAGGCCCCGGGCGGUAAAGAUGGAAUCCAUUCAUUUGGAGAAGCAGAGGGAACUUGGCAGAAAGGAUCAAAUGGAAAAUACUCCCGGCAGCCUGAAGUCAGCCGUCUACCCAAACAGAGGGGGCCCUGCCCCAGGAGACCGGCUUAGAGUUGCUGCUGUUUUUAGUAAUCGAGGCCCUGAGAAUGAUUAAACCAUCAAACUCGGCCACUCAGAGAGUAUUUUCACACGAGCCAAAUGGACCUCCAUGUACAAUCGCUCUUACUUACUGUGGAGAAGGCAGAAUUCUAUUCUCGUAUUUUAUGUUUUUUAAAGAGGCAAUUUCAAUUCUUUCAUGUGAUAGAAAAUGUUCGACACAAAUUAACAUUCCUGACAAAAGGGCUGUCGAUCAAGUGAGAAAAGCAUUCAGCUUGCGAUGCGAGCAGGACUGGAUCGGCAGCACGAGAACUGCUGAGAAGGGAGGCUGGGGAGACGAGACUCCACCCUGCACCCACCGGCAGGCCGCUCCGGAUCCUGAGAGGAAGGCACCGGGCCCUCGGCCUCUCUGGUCUACACGCUGACCCUCUGCGCAGGACGCUGGAGGAACACAGCGGGAGAUUUGCUGGAAUCUUUUUCCAGCUUGAGAUUUGAAUAUGUUCCUUAACUUCCUCAAGAAAGGCCCCUGCACAGAUCAAUAUUCACUUAACAAAUAUUUAUGGACUAUUCAUCCUACUAUGUGCCAAGUAUUGGUCUAGACGUUGGGUGUGAAUAAGAUAUAAAAGGUCCCUGCCCCACUGAGCUCACCUUCUAGAAGGGAGAAGACGGACAGUCAGUGGGUAAACAAACAAAAGAGACUGUUUGAAAUGUAUAUGCGCUGUGGAGGAAUUUAAGCAGGAUAAAAAUAAGAAAGAAUAGCUGUGUUGAGGGUGGGGGGGCACUUCAGACGGGGGUCAGGAAGAGCUGAGACCUGAAUUCUGUCCUGUCCCUUCUGGAGGACCAGCCAGCCACAUUAAGAGGCAGGCAACCCUCAGCCCGGCCCUGGUCCCCAGUAACGAGUGGAGUCUGCUUCCUGUCACUCUGCUUCUGCCCUUUCUGAAACACCAUAUAAAUGGAAUCAUGCAGUAUGAAGCUGGCAGCCUUCUAAAAUGGCUCCCAAUGACCCCUGCCUCCUGGUCUUGUGCAAACCCUUCCCCUGGCGUACGGUCUGGACCGCGUGACUUGUUCCAAUGACGCGUCCAAAAGCGAUGAGACACUGCUUCCGAGGACAGCUGGUAAAGCUGCCGUCUUGCCGACUCUCUCUCUCCCUGGCUCACUUCCAUGAGGCCAGCUGCUGUGUCACGAGCUGAUGUGGCAAGAGGCUCACGGGACAAGGAACCGGGAGACCAGGCCUCCGUCCAACAGACGGCGAGGAGCUGACUCCCGACACGGCAGGAGUAAGCUGGGAGGUGGGUCCUGCCCCGCUGAACCUCGAGAUGCCGGUACCCUGGCCACCAUCUUGACUGCAGCUUUGUGAGAGACACUGAGCCACAAAAACUGGGGGAGAACCGUGCUGUUUGAAGCCACGCGUCUUGCGGGAAUUUGUCAGGCAGCAGGGGACCAUGGGACAGCAGGCUAUGUGUCUGACUUCUCUCACUUUGCAGACCGUGUUUGAGCUUCAUCCACGGUGUUGCCUGGACCAGUCGUUUAUUUGUUGCUGCUGAGGAGCAUUCCACUGAUGAAUAUACCUCAAUCUGUGUAGCUACUCACCUGCCCGUGCACGUCUGGGCUGUGUCUGGCUUUUGGUUAUUAGGAGUAAAGCUGCUUUGAACACUCAAGUAUAAGUCUUUGUGUGGACACACGUUUUCACUUCUCUUGAAUAAGUACCUAGAUAUGGGACUGUGGGGCUGUAAGUGGAAUGUAUGUUUAACUUUAUAAGAAACCGCCACUCUGUUUUCCAACGUGGCUGCACCAUUUUGUAUUCCCACCAGCGAUGUAGGAGAUUUUAAGAUGCCCUGCCUCCUCAUCAACACUUGACUGUGUCUCUAAUUUUGGCCGUUCCUGUCGCUAUGCAGAGACAUCCCACUGGGAAUUGACUGUGCAUUUUCUCAAUGGCUAACGACACUGAGCAUCUUUUCAUGCGCUUAUUUAUUUGUUCAAAUCUUUUGUCCAUAUUUAAAAAUGAGAUUGUUGGUCUUCCUAUUAUUGUAAGCAUUCUUUAUAUGUUGUAGAUACAAGUCCUUUGUUGGAUAUAUGUUUUGCAAAUAUUUUCUCCCAGUCUGGGGUUUGCCUACUCAUUUUCUCUUAUUUAUUUAUCUAUUUAUUUACUUGAG